UACGUAGGGUGCGAGCGUUAAUCGGAAUUACUGGGCGUAAAGUGUGCGCAGGCGGCGUUGCAAGUCGAGUGUGAAAUCCCCGAGCUUAACUUGGGAAUUGCGCUCGAAACUACGAUGCUCGAGUGUGGCAGAGGAAGGUGGAAUUCCACGUGUAGCGGUGAAAUGCGUAGAGAUGUGGAGGAACACCGAUGGCGAAGGCGGCUUUCUGGCCCGUUCUUGACGCUGAGGCGCGAAAGCUAGGGUAGCAAACGGG
This 253-nucleotide ribosomal RNA is filed under the name uncultured bacterium. RNAcentral describes it as "partial 16S ribosomal RNA". It matches the Rfam family "Bacterial small subunit ribosomal RNA", at positions 524 to 776 of the family's 1533-position model. The record is from RNAcentral.